GUUUUAAUAGUUUAAAAUAAAACAUUGGUCUUGUAAACCGAAAAUAAGUUACUAACCUUUUAAAACU
RNAcentral lists this transfer RNA (67 nucleotides) under Tanaocerus koebelei. Its description in RNAcentral is "tRNA-Thr". It matches the Rfam family "tRNA". From Rfam's summary of the family: Transfer RNA (tRNA) molecules are approximately 80 nucleotides in length. Their secondary structure includes four short double-helical elements and three loops (D, anti-codon, and T loops). Lineage: Eukaryota; Metazoa; Arthropoda; Insecta; Orthoptera; Pneumoridae. The record is from RNAcentral.